AUUGAACGCUGGCGGAAUGCUUUACACAUGCAAGUCGAACGGCAGCACGGACUUCGGUCUGGUGGCGAGUGGCGAACGGGUGAGUAAUACAUCGGAACGUGCCCAGUCGUGGGGAUAACGUAGCGAAAGCUACGCUAAUACCGCAUACGAUCUAAGGAUGAAAGCGGGGGACCGUAAGGCCUCGCGCGAUCGGAGCGGCCGAUGUCAGAUUAGGUAGGUGGUGGGGUAAAGGCUCACCAAGCCAACGAUCUGUAGCUGGUCUGAGAGGACGACCAGCCACACUGGGACUGAGACACGGCCCAGACUCCUACGGGAGGCAGCAGUGGGGAAUUUUGGACAAUGGGCGAAAGCCUGAUCCAGCAAUGCCGCGUGCAGGAAGAAGGCCUUCGGGUUGUAAACUGCUUUUGUACGGAGCGAAAAGGUCCCCUCUACUACAGGGGGCUCAUGACGGUACCGUAAGAAUAAGCACCGGCUAACUACGUGCCAGCCGCCGCAGUAA
RNAcentral lists this ribosomal RNA (499 nucleotides) under uncultured bacterium. RNAcentral's name for it is "partial 16S ribosomal RNA". It matches the Rfam family "Bacterial small subunit ribosomal RNA", at positions 29 to 523 of the family's 1533-position model. The record is from RNAcentral.